This 2693-nucleotide long non-coding RNA is filed under the name Triticum aestivum (bread wheat). Its description in RNAcentral is "long non-coding RNA (TAES_LNC006470)". Lineage: Eukaryota; Viridiplantae; Streptophyta; Magnoliopsida; Poales; Poaceae. The record is from RNAcentral.
GAGCAGAUGGGCGGCGUGACGUUCGGCGGCUGCCUAGGUCUCGGGCGGCGCCGUGGUUGGUGAUGGUUCCAUGACGGUGCAGGCUCAACGGCGUGAGCUCUCCGGGUUCUUGGAUACCGGGAAACGCAGCGGGGAUGCAACGACUACGAACUCUUCCUGCCCCGGCGACGGCGGUGCUGCUCCAUCUCGCCGGGUACGUCGAUGUCACGGUGAGGUCUCCAAACUUUGCUUCAUUGUCAGGAUUUGUGCCCCUGUAAUUCUCCUCCCGUCCUGUCCAAAUCUAGGAUUCUAUUUUCCCUAUCCAUAUAGGAACUUAGACAUAGUAUCAUGGGCAUGACUUACCGGCUACGGCUGCUGCCUUGGUUCUAAAUUGUGGCGCGUGUAUUUAACUAUUUAUUUGUGCCACAAUGAUGUUUUGCUACAAUUACUGAUAUAUUGACUCAUUGGUAUUGCUAGCUUAUUGCACAUUUAUUUUUCUACUAGAAGCGUUCCACGCGCUUCGCUGCAGCAUCUUGUGAAAGAUGCAGUGCUUCCAAGAUUUAUAUCAAAGAGAGGCACAAAGAUGCAGUGCUUCCAAGCUGAUAUGCAAUGCUUUAUAGUAUGCCUUAUACGGUAAGAGUAUUUCCCCAUUCUCUAAUCCACACCUUAACUCAUUGGUUGUGAAUUUAUAGCAGCAACAGUUGAUGGACUUAGAAAAGUAUGCUCCUGAACCUGCAAACAACAAUUAACAUAGACACUUAGGAGCAUCCUAACUGCCUCACAUGAGCAGCAAAUAGAUUACAUAGGCAGUUAUCCUACAUAUCAAUUUUGUACACGAUUAUUGAGAAGAGUAUGAUUUCUCAAAUGGGUUUGAUCCUCUCCAAAGGAAGCUUCACGGUACAAAUUUUUUUUUUAGGUGUGAAAGAGCAGAUUUAGCCAAAUCGCUCCUGGGGCUUUCUACCCCAGGGAGCUUAAUGAUUAAGGUGAUAUAGUAUACAUUUACAUUGCAUUGCCAAUUUUUUUUUACAAUGAAUACCCAGCACCAAAUUCCUGGCCACUGAACAUACAGGGUAACUUGUAUUACUUCUAUAGUUCAGUCCACUUCGAUUCUUACUAUUUAUUCAAGUUUCUGUUAUUUACAAACAAUGCUUCAACCAUUGUUGUUUGUGUUCGCGUUAUGACCUGUUGUGGCCUAAGGUGAGCUCGAGCCUGAACCCAUUAGUUUCGAUUCUACUACUUUUCUCGUAUAAGAUUUCAUGGUCAAGUUAAUUUUCAUUGCUCCAAACCUAGCAUUUGCAGUUGCUUGUUUCAGAAAUACAGGUUUUGCGUCAGAUUUCGGCCGUCAAGGUAAAUCGUUCCAGCUGUUGCGUAUUAUGGGCUUACUAUCUGUGCAGUCGUCUCAUAGAGUUACCACGACCCUAAUUUUUUAUGGAAUUUUCCUCCAUUCACCUUUUAUAUUUCCUUCAGAAACUCGAUCAGUUUUUUGGGAGGUCAGGUCCACUUAUAAGCAUUUGUGUAUUACAGGUUGAUAUUCUAAAGAUGCUUGUAAGGUGCCUUAUCUAUAUUAUUUUACUGAUGCUGACUAAUCAAAGACUGCCUACACAACUUGUCUUGUAUAAAUAAAAGAAAAAGUUGGCUCACUGACGCAUCAACUUCCUGAUGUAAGUGUUUUCUCAUAUACUCUUUCUAUUCCAGAAUGUAAGGUGUAUUGGUUUCCGUGCAAGUCAGCCAUUUAAGUGUUUGACAAAGAUUAUAGAAUAAAAUAAGUAUAUCUUCAAUACCUAGUAGAUACAAUUUGAAACUACUUUUCAUGAUGGAUCAAAUGAUAUAAAUUUCAUAUUGUGAAUUUUGAUAUAUUUUCAUAAAAAGUCAGUCAAACUUGUGCUCAUUUGACCUUUCAAAAAACAAUACAUCUUAUAUGAAGGAACGGAGGGAGUAUUUGUUUUCAUCUUCUCCAUGAUAUGUUCACUCGUUCUCUUCAGAGAUUUGUUCAAGGGAUUCCUUUCAAAGGAUUGCACUUUUUUUUGAUGAUUUUUUCAAACAAUGACACCUUUGUGAUAAAUUUCUCAUGUGAUAUAGGUUGUGUACGACUGUAAAUUACAUUGGUAUGUGCAGUGUCUCCCCUUUAAUCCAUUGGUUUACUUAUUUAACUCUGUUUUUUGUGUAUCCCUUGCUUCUGAUGCUUUUCUUAAUCGGCUCUCCUCUUUGUUUAUGUGUGAUUUGAGUAUGUUCAUAGUUAACAUCCACCAAAAAAUUAGUAGAUGUCAGAGAUAAUGUGGGGGUGAAAACACAUUGGCUAGCGAGUGCCAUCUUUAUCUAUAACGAAACAGUUGUCGAAUGGUUGAACUUUCCUGCAUGAUAUUUCUUUAGUACGCCACCUCUCAAUCUUAUGAAAACAAGAGUUGAUGUGAUUGUACAUUGAUCACAUUCCAUUUCUAUAUCAUUGGCUCCUUGCACAUCGUUAGUAUAAAUUAAAAUUCCCAAGAACCCAUUUUGGUUCGGAUAGCGAUUCAGAAUCUUUUUCUUGGUUGUCCGAUAACAAUGCUACUAUGAAUCAUAUUCAUAUCCUUGUUCCAAUGUUUGCAAUUUCUGCUAGAGCAUCUGUGAGUUGAACUAACAAGGAUGCAGCCACAUUUGCAGGCAUAUACAGUGCAGGAGGAUGCAGAUAUGGGCACAACAAUGGAGCUAAUACUUCUACGAACAUGGUCAAUCCC